Panicum virgatum (switchgrass) is the source of this 468-nucleotide long non-coding RNA. RefSeq lists it as uncharacterized. The record is from RefSeq and is a predicted model, not a curated record. The transcript is spliced from 2 exons. Lineage: Eukaryota; Viridiplantae; Streptophyta; Magnoliopsida; Poales; Poaceae.
UCAACGUCGCUCGUUUCCUAACUUCAAAUCCAACUUGCUUGAUGUUCGUGCCUUUCUUGCUGAGGAACGCAGAUCACCCAAGAGAGGAGGGGCAGUCAUUGUUUCGAAGAUUGUACAAGAAACUUUUUCUCAACCUUCCGACGACGAUGAAAGGACAAGUAGAAGCUUUCUUCAGAAAUUAAAUGCACUUCCAUGUUGCCCUAUGGCUUGGUAGGGUAGUUCACAACCAGCAGAGUCUAGUGUUGGAGCAAAGGUAAAUAUGGUUUAUGAAGUCGGGGAGUUGUUUGAGCUGGGUAUUCAAUUGUCUUGUCUGCUUAGACUACUUGGCCUUCUCGGAGCUGGUUCGUUUUUUAUUGUUCGUCAGGUUCUUGUUCGCAGGGAACUUGACCUUUCUGCCACAGAAAUUUAGAAGUUCCCAUGGGAAAAGAGUGGUUCCGUUGUACAAAGAAUCACGAAGUAUAUGGAAAC